CUCGUAGGCGGUUCGUCGCGUCCGGUGUGAAAGUCCAUCGCUUAACGGUGGAUCCGCGCCGGGUACGGGCGGGCUUGAGUGCGGUAGGGGAGACUGGAAUUCCCGGUGUAACGGUGGAAUGUGUAGAUACCGGGAAGAACACCAAUGGCGAAGGCAGGUCUCUGGGCCGUCACUGACGCUGAGGAGCGAAAGCGUGGGGAGCGAACA
RNAcentral lists this ribosomal RNA (207 nucleotides) under uncultured bacterium. RNAcentral describes it as "partial 16S ribosomal RNA". It matches the Rfam family "Bacterial small subunit ribosomal RNA", at positions 568 to 774 of the family's 1533-position model. The record is from RNAcentral.